GACUUUUGGUGCGAAAUUGAAUUUAAAAAUAUAUUAUAGCUUGUCCUUUUUUGUUUUGUUUUUGUUUGCCGAAUAUUUGUUCUUGUAUAUUUUAUUUAGUGGAUGCUUUUAAAGUAAAUAGUAUAUUUAUAUGUUGGUUUUACUACACCAUACAUGAUAGUCAGGUUGUUGAAUUCCAGCUUACAGUGGAAUCUUCUCAGACUUGUGUUUGAUUAUAUAGCCAAUACAAAAUCUAUAGUAUAUUAUCAAAAAAUAUUGUUAAACUGAUAGCUAGCAUGUCAAGAGAGAAACGUGCAUAUGUCAUUUGGUCCCUGUUGGCAGUCUAAUUGGCAAUCAUAUCACAUCUUCUUUCUGUAGUCCUAGCAAGGAUUUAUUUUGAAUAGAAAUUCUUUGGUGUACUGUAAAAGCAUCAAUUUCCGUAGAGGAAUUAAUUUUGUUUAUUUCAUGGAAAGAAUAUAUCCAAGAAAUUAAAACCCCAACAAAAAAUUUAAUUUUCAUAUAAUAACACUUCCAUUUAUUGGAACCACAAAAUUAAAUCCCCAAGAAAUCUUAUAUAGAGACCAAAGCCACGAAAUUUUAAUGUUUCUACAGUAUAUAGGAAAAUCUUUAGUCAUUAUCAAUUUGUUUAUUUUUAGACUAAGCAGAAGUACAUUGGCAAUAGCUUUCACAAUUCUGGGAAUGUUUUAUUGUUUUACACGGAAAGUUGAUCUCAACCAUUAUGAGCUAAGAAUAUCAUUACUUAUAUAUAUUGAGAAGUUUUAUCAUUAUAACAAUUGUUAAUGUUUGAAGUCUAGUGCUAUGCAUUUGUCUGUUGUUAAGCUAUUUGAAUGUUUGUUAUUUUUGUUUUAAGGAUUUUUUGGUAAAAAAUACUUCGUUCAAAAAGAUCACUAUCAUUGAAAUCAAAUUAUAUUUAAGUCGUCGUCAAUUUUCAUUAAAAAAAAUUAACUUUUCAAAUGCUCAAUGGAAUUAUUCCCUUUAGGACUGUGGAGAAAAUGUCCGUUUUCUAGUCUUUACAUUUUUGUAUAUAUCUAUAUGUUUAUAUAUGUAUUUGUAAAAGUGCUAUCUUAUGAAGAGUGCUAUUUAAUUUGUUUCUACUUUUGUAGUGGAUUCGAAGAAUCAAGUGCUUGGUGUUUCCAAUAUUAUAUUUAUUUAGCUUCAAUAUUUGUAUUCUAGAUUUGUUUUUUGUUUGUUUAUAGUAUUAAAAUAGGACUGGAUAUUUCAAGCUCAGAUUUUGCAGGAAGGAGGAGACAUUUAUUUUCUUUCACUCCAAAUGACAAAAUGUCUUUAAUUAUCAUUGCACAAUUUGCUGCUUCAGAAUCUAAUGCAUUCUGGGUAAUAUUUGAAAAGCGUACACCAAAUGUUGAUCGGUUAAAAACAUAAAUCAUUGAUAAUGGAAAUUUAACAAAUGAUGUAACAUUAUUUUCGUUUUGGAUUUGGUUUAAAAAUGAUAAAAUGAUAUUUUAUUUUAUUUUUUUUUAAUUGAUUUCCUAGUUAACAUACUUAAUAAGAAUAUAUAUUUUAAAUCA
Molecule: long non-coding RNA, 1526 nt
Filed under: Mytilus galloprovincialis (Mediterranean mussel)
Lineage: Eukaryota; Metazoa; Mollusca; Bivalvia; Mytilida; Mytilidae
Source: RNAcentral